Molecule: long non-coding RNA, 3699 nt
Organism: Linepithema humile (Argentine ant)
Lineage: Eukaryota; Metazoa; Arthropoda; Insecta; Hymenoptera; Formicidae
Source: RefSeq, a predicted model, not a curated record
UGUUGCAAGAUUAAAAGCGCUCGAAGAUUAUGAUUCGAUCAAACAGAAUCUAGCGGGAUAUUGAGAUAUUCACACACACACACACACACAGAUUAGCAAAAUUGAAGGACCGCCGUGUAUUCUACACUCGUUUAUUUGGCACUCUGUAACGCACGUCACAUCUUUGCUCAUAGACCGAUCUCGCAAGGUGGCAGGCAUCCGCAGUAGAACAGCUCCUGCAGCAGUCUGAGUAUCAGCUUGUCGGGCCUUAAUUUUUCCGCACUCUCCGCGGUCUUGACGCGAUCCGAGCGGUACCGCAAACGGGGCACCGUAUACACGCGGCACCAUCGCAGGAAAUCGCCGGUGUCCUCCGUGCGGAUAAACGUCACGAUCGCCCAGAGCGUGCAGAGGUUCCGCGAUUUCUUUUUCGUGUGCAGGUAGAGUUGGCAGACAUCCAGAAACGUCAUGAGAUUGACGACGCUCUUUUCCAUGGAGAAGGACUUUCCGGAAUCGACGCGAGAACGUCUUCUGACGUUCGAGGUGAACUCGAUGACCGGAACACACCGGGCCGCAGCGCGUCAAAGAGAGGAGGGCUCGAAAGUCAAAAAUCGCGGUCGUCAAUCGAGCAGACGCCACCGCGAUCUUUUAAAUAGAUCCUUUGGCGAACGUCAUCGAGCGGAAAAUCCGCCUGGCGCGAGGGCUGCUCUCCACUCGCGCCGCCGCCACCCCCGCAUUGUGUGCUGUGGUAGACACCGACGGAGGCAGGUGGACCGACUUCAAAGAGCAGUGUACCCGCACCCCUCCGCUAGUCCGCAAUCCCCGUUCGUCGUCGUACUCUGCGUUUCUGUCGCACGUGCGCGCGCGGGACGAGCGAACAGGCCGGAUAUAUGUGUGCAUAUAGUCGUUCGCGGCCGAUACGCGGCUGCGCGGUGAAUUUAUUCGAUACCUCUUUUCGCAUAACUGGGUUAGUCUCCCGGUGCACUAGUUUAACUAAUUUAAGGAUGCCACCAGAUGCCUCGUGCCCGACGGCUAAUGUCAACCGUCAACUGGACGCAAACGGACGGACAGACGGACGUAAUAUCGAUGUACGCGCUGUUGCUUCCAAGGAUGCGACGGUGCAGUGGUGACGUGCACCUCGUGCAAUUAUUAUAAAUUUUCAAAAAAUUUCAAGGAGAACCUCCUUUCAAGACUGAACGGAAACUACAGAAGCAUGACUUUUCAAUCUUUGAGCUUUCAUACGUUUAUAUAUUAGAAUGUCUUUCCUUGGAUUUAUAGAUUUUUAAAACUUUUAAGCCUUGAAAUUGUUUGAUUAUACGCUUAAAAAUAACGCAUAGAAUGUACAUAUCUAUCGCAUUUCAAUCAAUUCGAACGACUGAAUUAUCGCAGUCUAUUAUGCGCCUGUAUCGUGCAUGAAGACGAAAGAGACUUGUCUAUACGUCAUUAAUAACAACGAUUUAUAAAUAGACGGUGAAAUGCAUACAGUGCUUGCAUCACGAAACGUCGCCCGUCUCUUCAAGGACUAAGGACCGGCUGCGUCAGCGUUAGAUUAACGGGACAUCUGUUUAACUCAAUUUUUUAUUAUUUAAAUAAAAAGGAGGAACAGGAUAUCAGAGUGACGAUACAAUUGUUUGUCACUUUUUUUUAAUUUAAACAUUUGCCUCGCUUAUCACUAUUUGUAGUACGCGAUUGAUCGAUUCGGUGCAAUUAACAUAUAUUUGAUAUCGCAAAUGCUUAAAUAUUUGAAGUUAAAAUUGCACGAGAUUUAUAUAAUGAAUAUUUAUUAUCGCUCGACACGCGACGUGUGCGUUUGCGACGUGACGAAACGGAGAACCACUGUGCCGCGGUUGGACUACGCACUACGUAACGAGCGAGUUGUAAGUGUAGUGGUCUCGACAGCGUGGGUGGUACGUAGAGCAACGGCAAUGUGCCAACCGUGAGAGAGGCAGCCAUGAAUGAAAAUGCCGCGUAUCGAUUUAUCUGCACCGCCCUACAUACGAAAUAUGAUAGAGAGUGCUCCGAGCGAUUUGCAGUGGCAUUUUUAAUCAUUUCGAUCCACACCUAUUCACAAAGCCUUUCUCGCUGCAGUUUUAACUGAUUCCGAUUAUGUGUUAAUUAAGCGAAUGAGGAAACUAAUUAUUAGCUCACAUGUAUCUGAUGUAUGAUAAUGUGAUACCUAUGAUGAAAUCAAGUCAAUUAUUCCAAUGAGAAUACAGUAGUGAAGAAAAAUAGGCUUUAUGAAUUAUAAUGUCGAAUAGAUAAUGGAUAAAAUUAUUCAUGAGAGCAAAACAGAUAAGGAAUAGAAUAUGUGAAAACACAAAAUUUAUAUAAUGCAUUUCUAAACAAUAUUCGGUUCAAAAUCCUAAAAAAAAUUUAGGAACUUGAUUACAUGUGUAGGAUCUAUUAAUUGAAGCUGUGAUCUUGAAUCUUUGAGCCUUUAAUAAUAUUAAAUAAUUUGAUAAAACUAAUCAUGAAUUGAAUUUUUUCAGGGAUUCGACUGGUGGACUUCGCCAAAAUGGAAGAUGUAAAAUUUCAGCAGCCGGAUAUAGAAUUUCGCGGUCACGUGUAAUCAACGCAAAUAACUGCGGAUUAUCGACUCGGGCUGUAACACAGCACCAAACGCGUCACCGCGUUCAAAACGAUUCGAUAUGGCGCCAUUAUUCAUUCAUGCGAGCUACCUCUACGUCAAUGACUAGGAUGGUUCACGCUGAUUUUGACGCUUGCCAACGUGCAGAUCGAAACGCUGGAAUAUCAAAGAGCUUGAGAAACUCUUGAUGCGGAAAGACCCGGAAAUUUGGAGGAAUCAAAUUGCAUCGUACGAUCAGAAGGCACCGCGCGGUUGAAGCGGUGUGAAACGCUCAGCGCACUUUAUUGACCACGGCGCUACCUUAUAUCAGUAUUGAUAACAGCGUAUCAAGCUUAUCAUAUAAAACUGGCCGCAUCUUCCGCAGUCCCUGAAUAAGCAAAAUCAAUUUCUCCGUGAGAGACGAUCGCCUACGCAAAUCUGUUCGGGCCGGCGACGACGACGGCCGCCAUGUCGCUAGUCGCGCGUCUCGCGGGGAAAACGAAGCGAUGAGGAUGUUGUACUUCCGUGUCGCGCUAUUUCGAAUGUCUUUUUAUUAUUAAAAAAAAAAAUCUUUUUUUCUUCCAAGGCUCACCUGGGUCAUGAGAGAAGCGAAAUCUUCCUGCUCAUGGCGAGACACGCCGUGGGGGCAAGAGGGUGCAGCAGCGCAGCGGCGACAGCGGCGGCGUCGGCGGCUGGUACUGGUGCUGGUAUUGCUCGCGUGGAAUCGACAUCGAGCAAAUAUUCGCGUCUCAUCGCGCCGACGAACGGGCUUCCUUCACAUUGUCUCGCGCUGCCGAAUCUCGCAUUUCUCUUUGUUUCAGUUGUCACUCGGGAUACUCGCGCGACGAAGGGGUGCGUCACGCGCACGAUGGAAGCGCGUUCCGCGAGGAAUCGAGCCGACCGACCGACCCUCCGACAAUGGCUGUAGCUCCGCUGGAGGGUUGAAAGGGAGCACGCGCGAGGCGACGCGACGCGGGCGUCGCCGUGACGCAUUAAUAGCGGCACAAGAGGGAGGAAUGGGCGGAAGACGGAGUGGGUGUAGAGAGAUAUGUUUCUCGUGCCAACUGCAGGAUAGGUAGCAGGAUGUGAAUAGCACCCAUCUAAUUUGACAUAAUCUACGUCCCAGGAUGCAAAUGUAGCAGCAUCUAUGUCCAAAU